AUCGGGGGCGUGGCCCCGCCAGCGCGCAGGGCUCCAAGCAGCUGCGACUAGCGGAAAGCGCGCGCCAGCUGCACGCAGGGAAACAGUUCUCAUUUUGUGUGCUCGGCUGACUGCACGUCCAGCCUCGGGCCAGCUCGAGACGGCCACAUUGCCUGGUUGAAGAUGGCUGAGCGUAAAACAGAAUGCAAGUCAGCUGGAGCACGUACUACUGGAGGCAGAGCCCCAUGAGAAGGGGCCAAGAACCCGCACCCAUCAAAAUCAAGAAGAAAGGCUGAACCCGGAGAGAAAAGGGAGCAACUGAUGUUGCCAUGCAGAUCCCUUGGUUGCUAUGAGAUGGUAACAUCACUCUGCCCCACCAUUGGCCAGUGCCUCCUCAGCUGCGGUGCCUCCCAGGCUGUGUGGUUCUCACGCGGGCCACUGACACAGAGCUGUUACUAUGAUGCUCUUCCAGAAAGAAAAGCCAGGAGUACUCCUGGCUGGAGGCGGCAUGCCUGAGGUCAGAGUCAAAGUAGGGUUUGUGCUGUCUGAAUCCUUUCUCCCACUCUCCCCAGCCUGGCUCAGCUUCUCAGCUUCUCAGGUGGAUUGGCCUCUGAGCCCAAGCCAAGCCAUCGCAUCCCCUGUGACUUGCCCGUAUAUAUGCCCAGAUGGCCUGAAGUAACUGAAGAAUCACAAAAGAAGUGAAUAUGCCUUGCCCCACCUUGACUGAUGACAUUCCACCACAAAAGAAGUGUAAAUGGCCGGUCCUUGCCUUAACUGAUGACAUUACCUUGUGAAAGUCCUUUUCCUGGCUCAUCCUGGCUCAAAAAGCACCCCCACUGAGCAUCUUGCGACUCCCACUCCUGCCCACUGAGCACCUUGUGACCCCCACUCCUGCCUGCCAGAGAACAAACCCCCUUUGACUGUAAUUUUCCUUUACCUACCCAAAUCCUAUAAAACGGCUCCACCCUUAUCUCCUUUUGCUGACUCUCUUUUCUGACUCAGCCCGCCUGCACCCAGGAGAUUAAAAGCUUUAUUGCUCACACAAA
This is a long non-coding RNA of Homo sapiens (human), 1025 nucleotides long. Lineage: Eukaryota; Metazoa; Chordata; Mammalia; Primates; Hominidae. The record is from Ensembl.